RNAcentral lists this microRNA precursor (103 nucleotides) under Marmota monax (woodchuck). The record is from RNAcentral. Lineage: Eukaryota; Metazoa; Chordata; Mammalia; Rodentia; Sciuridae.
AGUGGGAUAGCUGGGUCAUAUGGUGAUUCCACACCUAGUUUUUUGAGGAACCUCCAUACUGCUUCCCAGAAUGGUUUUACUAAUUUGCAGUCCAAACAACAAU